Molecule: ribosomal RNA, 324 nt
Filed under: uncultured bacterium
Lineage: Bacteria
Description: bacterial SSU rRNA
Rfam family: Bacterial small subunit ribosomal RNA
Source: RNAcentral
GAUGAACGCUGGCGGCGUGCCUAACACAUGCAAGUCGAACGAAGCACCUUGAUUUCUUCGGAUUGAUUGGUGACUGAGUGGCGGACGGGUGAGUAACACGUGGGCAACCUGCCCUGCAGACUGGGAUAACUUCGGGAAACCGGAGCUAAUACCGGAUAACACCGAAAACCGCAUGGUUUUCGGUUGAAAGGCGGCUUUUAGCUGUCACUGCAGGAUGGGCCCGCGGCGCAUUAGCUAGUUGGUGAGGUAACGGCUCACCAAGGCGACGAUGCGUAGCCGACCUGAGAGGGUGACCGGCCACACUGGGACUGAGACACGGCCCAG